Molecule: RNA transcript, 1068 nt
Organism: Oreochromis niloticus (Nile tilapia)
Lineage: Eukaryota; Metazoa; Chordata; Actinopteri; Cichliformes; Cichlidae
Exons: 5
Source: RefSeq, a predicted model, not a curated record
AAACGCUUCAUCGGCCAGCAGUGAUGAAGCUUAACCUAUCUCUCGAGCGCGACGAGCGCGUGCUCACCUUUCAUCUAACGGAUUUUACGCGUCUGUCAUGUGAGGAAGUGAAGAAGACACGUAGCCCAAUGACACAUUCAGACGGACAGUAGGCUACAGUCGUGACAGUGGAGAUAUUGCUGCAGUAACGCGCAAACAAUCACCAGGCAAAUGACGUCACUAAGAAGGCACGGUGGUGUUUUCAAGUAGCACGAGGAUUUUAACGCCACUCUUCAAGGAAGUUCGGUAAAAUGGCAAAGAAUAAACAAAAGGGGAAAAAACAGAAGAACGUCUUUCAAGUGGCAAACAAGCACUUGAAGAACAAGACCAAAGCGAAACCCGUCACAACAGCACUCAAACAUAUCAAUACAGUGAAAAAGGAGAAAGUGGAGAGUCUAAAUCAAAUCUUCACAGAAGUCCAGAGGGAUGUUAAGAGCAUUUCAAAGUCAGUCGCUCCUGAGCCAAAGAAACAAAUACAGGUUGUCAGAGAGUCACCAAAGGAAUCUGUCAAUAUCGACAAUGCCACUCAACUCCUCUCUCAGCUAUAAUGGUGUAAAAAUAAGUGAUUACCAUGAACAAAGAUGAUGGACUGAAUAUGCUCUCAAAGCAUUUUGUCAUUUCUCUUCAAAAUGAGGACUACAGAUGAGCUGACAAGAACCUGCUGCAUUGAUAUGGGAGUGAAACCUCAUGUGCAACUCAAGGUUUUUGCGUAUUAUGUGCACAAAGAAAUCAAAUCCAGUGACAGACUUGAACACUGUCAAUUGUAACCUUCUUUCACAUUAUGCACCUUUGUGUAUUUUAUUAAUAUUCUUUUAGACUUUGAAUACACAUUAUUGUCAUUAUUGAUUCUCAGAAAAUGCUUACAUUAGAGCAGAUUCAAACUGUAAUGUUAUAUAUGGCACGAACAAUAAGUUAAAUGAAACAAAAUAAAGUGUUGAUAUGUCAGAUGACUAAUCUUUUCAUUAACCGAUUCUCUUUAAAACUCUUUGUGUGCCUUGUAGUCAUUUUUCAAUAAACUUUUCAAAAGAA